ACGUCAAGUCCUCAUGGCCCUUAUGGGCUGGGCUACACACGUGCUACAAUGGCAGUGACAGUGGGAAGCAAGACCGCGAGGUGGAGCAAAUCCCCAAAAACUGUCUCAGUUCGGAUUGUACUCUGCAACUCGAGUGCAUGAAGUCGGAAUCGCUAGUAAUCGCGGAUCAGCAUGCCGCGGUGAAUACGUUCUCGGGCCUU
This 200-nucleotide ribosomal RNA is filed under the name uncultured prokaryote. RNAcentral's name for it is "partial 16S ribosomal RNA". It matches the Rfam family "Bacterial small subunit ribosomal RNA", at positions 1182 to 1382 of the family's 1533-position model. The record is from RNAcentral.